CUCCACGCCCCUUCCUAGCGCGGGGCUUCUUCCGUCCCGGAGCCCCGCCUGGCUCCCGCCUCCCGCGCCGCUACCCCUUUGCUGGGGAGGUGGCGUAGGACUUCCUGAUCGCCGCGGGUCAUGCCACCGAGAAAUGGGCUCAGAGAUAAAGAAAACACAGUCUUGGCCUCAAGAAGAUCACAAACCAGCGAGAAAACUGGAAAAGAAGUUUCCAGAAUCUGGGAAGUCCAUCUCAGACUGGAGAGGCCUCCAGAAAUCCUUAGUCCAGCUGCCCAUCUGAUGCAGGAAUGCCUUCUCCAACACCGCUGCCAGCAUCGCAGAAAACCGUGAUUGGUGCCUCUGUGAGCGUGGGACAGGAAGAGUUAACCUGCUGACAGACGGCAUUUUUUACCUUCAGUCAAUAUGAACAAGGCCCCAAGACUAUGAUUCCAAACAUCUGGAUUUCAUCAAUAUGUGAUCUGUCAUCGUAUAUUGGCAUUCCCCAGUCCCCGCGCCAGAGCAAUGCGGCUGGUUUUAUUAAUACGUCAAAUACAUUAUCCGUGUAAUACACUUGUCUGGCUGGGGCCUCCCGCUGGGGCGGGGCGGCGGAUUUGAA
Budorcas taxicolor (takin) is the source of this 595-nucleotide long non-coding RNA. RefSeq lists it as uncharacterized. NCBI's taxonomy places the organism in Eukaryota, Metazoa, Chordata, Mammalia, Artiodactyla, Bovidae. The record is from RefSeq and is a predicted model, not a curated record. The transcript has 4 exons.